This is a long non-coding RNA of Bubalus bubalis (water buffalo), 349 nucleotides long. RefSeq lists it as uncharacterized. The transcript is spliced from 2 exons. Lineage: Eukaryota; Metazoa; Chordata; Mammalia; Artiodactyla; Bovidae. The record is from RefSeq and is a predicted model, not a curated record.
UGCUGGCAUCUGGAUCUUGAACCUGUCCUCCUGAGACAUGUGAGAGGACAGACGUCUACUGCCUAAACCACCCAGUCUGCGCUGUUUGUUGUGGCCACCAGAGCUGACAGAGACCACGUGGCAGACACGAGAGAAGCUUCUCUGCAGCCUGGCAGCUCUGCCAGCUACAAGAGCAUCCAGACAGCACCAACCAGCGAGUCCUCUGGAUAUGUAACACUGGGAGGAGAGUCUGAAAGAAAAAAGCUGACUACAAGUCUGGGUUAUUUUAUUUAUUUAUUUUUGGCUUCCUGAAUGACAAAGUCUUCACCAAAAUGAAAGAGAAAAUAAAUGCAUGCCAGAAUGAAAUGUA